This 494-nucleotide ribosomal RNA is filed under the name uncultured bacterium. RNAcentral describes it as "partial 16S ribosomal RNA". It matches the Rfam family "Bacterial small subunit ribosomal RNA", at positions 28 to 507 of the family's 1533-position model. The record is from RNAcentral.
GACGAACGCUGGCGGCGUGCUUAACACAUGCAAGUCGAACGGAAAGGCCUGCUUUCCCUUGUGGAUUGCGGGUACUCGAGUGGCGAACGGGUGAGUAACACGUGAGUGAUCUGCCCCCAACUUGGGUAUAAGCCUGGGAAACUGGGUCUAAUUCCCGAUAGGACUGCAGGGUGGUGCCUGUGGUGGAAAACGAUUUUCUAGUGGUUGGGGAUGAGCUCGCGGCCUAUCAGCUUGUUGGUGGGGUAAUGGCCUACCAAGGCGGCGACGGGUAGCCGGCCUGAGAGGGUGGACGGCCACAUUGGGACUGAGAUACGGCCCAGACUCCUACGGGAGGCAGCAGUGGGGAAUAUUGCACAAUGGGCGGAAGCCUGAUGCAGCGACGCCGCGUGGGGAAUGACGGCCUUCGGGUUGUAAACUCCUUUCGACCGCGAGGAAGCCACCUGGUUGGAAGGGUGGUGACGGUAGUGGUAGAAGAAGCACCGGCUAACUACGUG